Osmerus eperlanus (European smelt) is the source of this 110-nucleotide small nucleolar RNA. RefSeq annotates it as small nucleolar RNA SNORA5. NCBI's taxonomy places the organism in Eukaryota, Metazoa, Chordata, Actinopteri, Osmeriformes, Osmeridae. The record is from RefSeq and is a predicted model, not a curated record. The transcript has a single exon.
UGUGGAUACCCAUGACCCCAUAGCCGUGCCAACUCCACCACAGCAUUCUUGUCUCUCAUGGGGCCCACCCCCCUCUGCCCCCACUGGGGUAACUAUGGAGACAGACAGCU